RNAcentral lists this ribosomal RNA (377 nucleotides) under uncultured bacterium. RNAcentral's name for it is "bacterial SSU rRNA". It matches the Rfam family "Bacterial small subunit ribosomal RNA", at positions 523 to 898 of the family's 1533-position model. The record is from RNAcentral.
AUACGUAGGUGGCAAGCGUUGUCCGGAUUUACUGGGCGUAAAGGGAGUGUAGGCGGAUACUUAAGUCAGAUGUGAAAUACCCGGGCUCAACUUGGGUGCUGCAUUUGAAACUGGGUGUCUAGAGUGCAGGAGAGGAAAGUGGAAUUCCUAGUGUAGCGGUGAAAUGCGUAGAGAUUAGGAAGAACACCAGUGGCGAAGGCGACUUUCUGGACUGUAACUGACGCUGAGGCUCGAAAGCGUGGGGAGCAAACAGGAUUAGAUACCCUGGUAGUCCACGCCGUAAACGAUGGGUACUAGGUGUGGGAGGUAUCGACUCCUUCCGUGCCGCCGUUAACACAAUAAGUACCCCGCCUGGGGAGUACGGUCGCAAGAUUAAA